This 467-nucleotide ribosomal RNA is filed under the name uncultured bacterium. RNAcentral describes it as "partial 16S ribosomal RNA". It matches the Rfam family "Bacterial small subunit ribosomal RNA", at positions 28 to 523 of the family's 1533-position model. The record is from RNAcentral.
GGUUAAUGCUAGCGGUGCGCCUAACACAUGCAAGUCGAGCGGGAUUUGAUUAUAGCUUGCUACAAUUAAUGAGAGCGGCGAACGGGUGAGUAAUAUGUUGGUACAUGCCUCUAAGUCGGGGAUAGCCCACUGAAAAGUGGAAUAAUACCGGAUGGUCUCGAGAGAGUAAAGAUUUAUCGCUUAGAGAGUGGCCUGCAUUCUAUCAGCUAGUUGGUGAGGUAAAAGCUCACCAAGGCAAUGACGGAUAAUUGAUCUGAGAGGAUGAUCAGUCACAAUGGAACUGAUACACGGUCCAUACUCCUACGGGAGGCAGCAGUGAGGAAUCUUCCACAAUGGGCGCAAGCCUGAUGGAGCGACACCGCGUGAAGGAUGACACAUUUCGGUGCGUAAACUCCUUUUAUAUAGGAAGAUAAUGACGGUACUAUAUGAAUAAGCACCGGCUAACUCCGUGCCAGCCGCCGCCGUAA